This 1081-nucleotide unclassified non-coding RNA is filed under the name Hevea brasiliensis (rubber tree). The record is from RNAcentral. Lineage: Eukaryota; Viridiplantae; Streptophyta; Magnoliopsida; Malpighiales; Euphorbiaceae.
ACAAAAAAACAAAAAAAAAAUAAAUAAAUAAAGAAGUGGUAGGUACCAUCCUCAUUUUCAUAAAAAAUUGUUAGGGCAUUCACAUUUUCAAGGGUUGAUGCAUCACCUAGAUGGUUUGUUCAAGGAACAAAGGCCAUGAUUCAUUUGAGGUUAACAAUUUCAUCAAACUACUCCAACUUUUAAGCAUCCACAAUAAAAUGCCUACUCGCAGAACAGCACAUAAUAUAACAAAAAGUAAAAUAAACUACACUUUCUACUAUUCUAUAAAACAUCCUCUAAGUAUUUCGACUUCUCAUGAAUAUUUUUAAAUCUUUCUACCAUACAGUUUUAAAAGAACAGUCCUAGUGACAAGUUCUGAAGGAUAUUACACAUCAAUGCACAAUGAACAAAUUGAGGCCACAACUUUCCCAAUUUAGUAAGCAUAGAUCAUAUGCUAAUGCUAUCAUGGCAAAUUGCAAGCUAUAAAGAUAAAUGCCAACUGAUCAUCCAUAUUUUUUUACUUUAUAGGAUACAAGAUUUAUUUACAUAGAGAGAACACCAUACCAUGUGUACCAACAGGUUCCUUAAUGCGACCACGACGACCACAUUUCGUCCACACUUCUACAGGCUUGAACCAUCUUACAUCCUCUGGGUUAUGGAACAUAUAUCGCACUGAGGCCUUCAAUUUUGACACUCGUUGGGGGUAACUGCAUCAGUUAUUUCAAUAAAUGAGAACAUCCAUCAUAUUCAAUUUAUAAGUCAUCACUAACAUGGAAUUGUAAGAAGUCCAAGAUCAAUCAAACUCAAUAUAUGACCAGCUCCAGAUACCAUCUCAAAUGGUUGCAUAAUAUUAAUUGAUGGUGGCAAAUUUCUGUCAAUAGAAUGGAAGUGAUAGAAGUAUGUCACAUGAUAUGAUUGGACAAGGAUUGUCAUGAAGCUCAUACCCAGUUAAUAUAAUCUUCUUCAGUAUUAUCCUGUCAGGAUCAAUGCUUCUCAAGGAACCAACAGCAGCAACAGUGGGGGCAGCACCUCCUUCUGAAUGCUUCAGGACUAUCAAAGGAAGAGAAGGAAAACAAAUUGGAGCAUAAAUUGAUGCCAUGGA